RNAcentral lists this small RNA (557 nucleotides) under uncultured fungus. Its description in RNAcentral is "eukaryotic LSU rRNA". The stretch from base 209 to 362 matches the Rfam family "5.8S ribosomal RNA". Lineage: Eukaryota; Fungi. The record is from RNAcentral.
CAUUAGUGAAUCUUCAAAGUCGGCUCGUCGGAUUGUGCUGGUGGAGACACAUGUGCACGUCUACGAGUCGCAAACCCACACACCUGUGCAUCUAUGACUCUGAGCGCCGCUUUGCAUGGCCCCUUGAUUUGGGCCUGGCGCUCGAGUACUUUCACACACUCUCGAAUGUAACGGAAUGUCUUGUUGUGCAUAACGUACAAACAGAAACAACUUUCAACAACGGAUCUCUUGGCUCUCGCAUCGAUGAAGAACGCAGCGAAAUGCGAUAAGUAAUGUGAAUUGCAGAAUUCAGUGAAUCAUCGAAUCUUUGAACGCACAUUGCGCCCCUUGGUAUUCCGAGGGGCAUGCCUGUUCGAGCGUCAUUACAACCCUCAAGCACUGCUUGGUGUUGGGCCUCGCCGGUUUUGGCGGGCCUUAAAAUCAGUGGCGGUGCCGUCUGGGUUCUGAGCGUAGUAAAUAUCCUCGCUACGGAGACCAGGCGGUUCUUGUCAUCAACCCCCAACUUCUUAAGUUUGACCUCGGAUCAGGUAGGGAUACCCGCUGAACUUAAGCAUAUC